CAAUAGCGUAUAUUAAAGUUGUUGCGGUUAAAAAGCUCGUAGUUGGAUUUCUGCUGAGAACGACCGGUCCGCCCUUUGGGUGUGUAUCUGGCUCUUUCUUGGCAUCUUCUUGGUGAACGUUGCUGCACUUGACUGUGUGGAGCGCUACCCAGGACUUUUACUUUGAGGAAAUUAGAGUGUUUCAAGCAGGCAUACGCCUUGAAUACAUUAGCAUGGAAUAAUAAGAUAGGACCUCGGUUCUAUUUUGUUGGUUUCUAGAGCUGAGGUAAUGAUUAAUAGGGAUAGUUGGGGGCAUUCGUAUUUAACGGUCAGAGGUGAAAUUCUUGGAUUUGUUAAAGACGGACUACUGCGAAAGCAUUUGCCAAGGAUGUUUUCAUUG
This 379-nucleotide ribosomal RNA is filed under the name uncultured eukaryote. RNAcentral's name for it is "partial 18S ribosomal RNA". It matches the Rfam family "Eukaryotic small subunit ribosomal RNA", at positions 592 to 975 of the family's 1831-position model. The record is from RNAcentral.